This 208-nucleotide long non-coding RNA is filed under the name Zostera marina. RNAcentral's name for it is "long non-coding RNA (ZMAR_LNC001025)". Lineage: Eukaryota; Viridiplantae; Streptophyta; Magnoliopsida; Alismatales; Zosteraceae. The record is from RNAcentral.
GUCAGUGAGCGAAAUCGCGAGUGAAGGCCGGUCCCUGACAGCGAGCGAAGUGAAGGUCUGUCCCUGACAGCGAGCGAAGUGAAGGCCUGUCAGCGAGUGAAAUCGCGAGUUGAAGACCGGUCACUGACCGCGAGCGAGCCCUGGCGGCGAUCGACCGAGAAAGAGUGACUGGAAGAGAGCGAGCGAGGUCACCCCAGAUCAGCUGCAC